GACGAACGCUGGCGGCGUGCUUAACACAUGCAAGUCGAACGGAAAGGCCCUGCUUUUGUGGGGUGCUCGAGUGGCGAACGGGUGAGUAACACGUGAGUAACCUGCCCUUGACUUUGGGAUAACUUCAGGAAACUGGGGCUAAUACCGGAUAGGAGCUCCUGCUGCAUGGUGGGGGUUGGAAAGUUUCGGUGGUUGGGGAUGGACUCGCGGCUUAUCAGCUUGUUGGUGGGGUAGUGGCUUACCAAGGCUUUGACGGGUAGCCGGCCUGAGAGGGUGACCGGCGACAAUGGGACUGAGGUACGGCGCAGAGUCCAACGGGAGGCAGCAGUGGGGAAUAUUGAACAAUGGGCGGAAGCCUGAUGCAGCAACGCCGCGUGCGGGAUGACGGCCUUCGGGUUGUAAACCGCUUUCGCCUGUGACGAAGCGUGAGUGACGGUAAUGGGUAAAGAAGCACCGGCUAACUACGUG
RNAcentral lists this ribosomal RNA (468 nucleotides) under uncultured bacterium. RNAcentral describes it as "partial 16S ribosomal RNA". It matches the Rfam family "Bacterial small subunit ribosomal RNA", at positions 28 to 507 of the family's 1533-position model. The record is from RNAcentral.